ACCUCCGAAGCACAACGGAAUCGUGCAAUCGGCUACGAACCGAGAGGAUGGUGGUUCGAAUCCACCCGGAGGUG
Molecule: transfer RNA, 74 nt
Filed under: Myxococcales bacterium
Lineage: Bacteria; Pseudomonadati; Myxococcota; Myxococcia; Myxococcales
Also listed under: 1 other name
Description: tRNA-Arg
Rfam family: tRNA
About the family: Transfer RNA (tRNA) molecules are approximately 80 nucleotides in length. Their secondary structure includes four short double-helical elements and three loops (D, anti-codon, and T loops).
Source: RNAcentral